Molecule: non-coding RNA, 4685 nt
Organism: Podarcis lilfordi (Lilford's wall lizard)
Lineage: Eukaryota; Metazoa; Chordata; Lepidosauria; Squamata; Lacertidae
Source: the annotation of a GenBank genome assembly
UGUGAACUGCCCUGAGACCUCCAGGUAUACGGCGGUAUAUAAAUUCAAUGAAGAAGAAGAAGAAGAAGAAGAAGAAGAAGAAGAAGAAGCUGUGAAUGGAGCAAGGCGGGGGAGGGGGGCGACAAUUCAUUCAUUAGCCUGCAAAGUGGUCUGAGCCUGACGUGCUGAUAGUCAACAAAAAAACAACAAAACUCCACCAGCUCACACAAGGUAAUGGUUCGUUAAACGAGCAGCCACGAAGGAUGGCUUAAUAUAUUUCCACCAAAUCAAAGCGGCUCGGAGCUCCACCCAGCUCCAAGGCAACAGCAAUCCUGGGAACGCUCCCAUUUGCUGACGUAAAAGAGAGAAAACGAAACCAGCUCCCUCUCUCCCUCCCUUCCCGGUGACUCCGCCAUGGCUGCCACUCGGGGUCCCGUCCGGGAUCUCUGCGAGGAAGCCACUUGCCCCAUCUGCCUGGAGUAUUUCCAGGAUCCAGUGAUCAUCCCGGAGUGCGGGCACAACUUCUGCCGAGCCUGCCUGAUCCAGUGCUGGGAGAAAUCCGAGGGAGAGGCUUCCUGCCCUCAGUGCAGGGAAACAGUGGAGCAAGGCAGCAUCAGGAAAAACCAGCAGCUGGCAAAUGUUGUGGAAAUAGCCAAGAAAUUUAGUCAUCUGGGGGGGAAAGAGGAGGGAGAAGGAAAGGGGAAGAUCUGCGAGAAGCACCAGGAGCCCCUGAAGCUGUUCUGCAAGGAGGACCAAAGCCCCAUCUGUGUGGUGUGUGACAGAUCCAAGGAGCACAAAAGCCACGAGGUGGUUCCUCUGGAGGAGGCGUCCCAGGAGUACAAGGUAGGAAAAGGCAGUGGUUCUUUCUUGGGGGUGGAAUAGCUGCAGACCAGAGGGGCUUUCAAAAUAAAAAAUAAAUAUAAAAUGUUGUAAUAUAUUUUCUCCUCUUGCAGCCCAAAAGGAAUUCUCCAGCAAGAGAUCUUGUGCAGCCUGAUAAGACUAAACUUCUGAAACUUUAUACAAUAAGCAUUUAUUUUCCUAUCUGAGGGAUUUAAAGUGUGCCCAGUGACCACCUCAAUGCAGGCUGCAGUAACUCCCCGGGAGGAAAGAUUACAACAUCGAGGAUUAAUUUAAUAAAAAGGAGGGGGGACAUGUUGGAGGUGUGUUCAGUGUGGGGGACAAAUAGUAAAACCCCCAUGUUUCUCAGCUCUGAUAUAGGGCAGCCCCAUUUCUGCCUCAUCUGGGAUGAAAAAGGGGAACCUCUGCAAAAGACCCAGCGAUGUGGGGCAGGGAGCACACAUACAUUCAGCUUGCCUGUUAAUGUGUAACGCAGCCCAAUUUGGAUUUUGUUUUCUUUUUAGGAUCAGAUCAGCAGCUGCCUAGACAAUCUGAGGAAGGGGAGAGAGAAAAUUCUGAAAUUUAAAGCAGACACAGAAAAGGAAAGCCAAGACCUGCUUGUAAGCACCAUUGUUACUGCUUUAAGGAGAAAAAAUGCUACAGUCUAGAAUCAAUAUGGGGGGGGGCGCGGAAAUGAAUAUGGAAUACAGAAAGGGGUUUCUUUUUGAACAGCCUGAUCUCCUACAGAGCAUGAAAGACCAUUUAAAGGAGGGGGUGGGCUUGUAAGUUUUUACGAAGCUCUUUCUCUGCUGAAUAUGUCAGAAGUGGCCUUCCAAGGGAAUUGGGAUAACUGCCCUCUUCAUCCUGCAAGAGCAGACUAGAUGCCUGAUCUUGGCCCACUGUUCUCUUCUUUCAACCUCUUUGCUGCAGAAACAAACAGGUGCAGAGAGGGAAAAGAUGGUGGCUGAGUUCAGGCGACUGCACCAGUUUCUGGAAGAACAGGAGAAACGUAUUCUGGCCCAGAUGGCAGAAGUAGAGAAGGAGAUUGCAGCCAAAAGGGAGGAGCUCCUGGCCAGACUCUCCAGGGAACUCUCCUCUCUUGACAGCCUCAUCCGGGAGAUGGAGGAGAAGCUUCAGGAACCAGCGAGUGAACUCCUGCAGGUGAGGCCUCAUCCUGAUGUGAGAGGGUGGAGUGUGCUGCUUAGUCACAUUAAAAUGCUACCGGAAAGAAAACAGUACAUGAAAAAUGAAAGGCAUCAGUCCUGGGGUCGCAAAAGGGGCCUUGCUAGAUCAAACCACAGGCUCCUUCAUUCUAGCAUUGUGUUCUCUCAUUGGCCAACCAGAGGUCUCUGAGAAGCCUAAAAAACAGUAGUGCUCUCCAAACCUGUGAUUCCCAGCAGUUGCCACUCAGCUGCUUAGUAUUUAUAACUGACUGCAGAAAUGGCUCCACUGACAUCUUUCUUUCUUUCUUUCUUUCCUUCCAGGAUAUUGGCAGGUCCUUGCAGAGGUAAGUGAUGGGAAACCCCUGCCUUAUUCUGAUGCCACAAAAGUUCCUGUUUAACGAGUGAGAAACUCACUCUCCAGUUUCUCCUUCUAGAGAUAGCUUAGGACUCCAUCGUCUAUUUCACAAAAUCACAGACAAAAAUAGGGACACAUUUUUGUGGUAGCUAUUGGUCCCAUCUACUGUAAAAUUACAGACAGAAAGCUGUUCCUAUUGCAUAUUUCUGAAGGCCCUUCUCUGUGAUGGAAUCAUUUACUCUGCAAUUGAUACAAAACAAGUGGACAUUCCAAAGGGGCUUGUAAAUAUCUUCACUAUAAUUUACCCGUAAAUAUUUGAUAUAUUUCAGGUUUUUGUAGGUUCUUCCUCAGCCAUAAGAAUGUGAGAAAGGGCCCAGCUGGAUCCGGCCAGUCACUCAUCAAGUCCAACAUCCUCUUUUCACAGUGACUAACCAGAUGCCAGUGCGAAACCCGCGAGUAGGAUCCGGGCCCCAGAGGACACUCCCCUCUUGUGGUUUCAGCAACUGUAGUUCAGAGGCACCACUGCCUUUGACCCAGCCAUGAUGAAGAGUAGCCUCUGAGAGCCUUGUCCUCCAGACAACUUCAAAAACUCAAGAAUUUUGAAAAUCUGCCAUGUUUAGAAAAUAUUGCUUUAAUUUCUAAUAUUUUCUCCAUUUUUAAAAUAUAACCACUGUGCUAAAAUACAUUUAUAAUGUUAAUUGCAAAAGCCAUUCUAAAGCAUUCUGAACUUCUUUAUAUUUCAGAAAUGCACAUACCAAAUCUAUUAUCUUCUACUCAUUUAUGCUUCAUUAAAACUAGUGUAGUCCUAACUUACACUUAAAUAUCCAGUGUAUUCAGGCUCUUGCAGAUUCUUCCUCAAACAUAAGAAGGUGAGAAAGAGCUCUGCUGGAUCCGGCCAGUGGCCCAUCUAGUUUUCACAGUGAAUAACCAGAUACCAGUAGGAAACCCGUGAGCAGGAUCCGGGCCCCAGAGGACACUUCCCUCCUGUGGUUUCAGCAACUGCAGUUCAGAGACACCAUUGCCUUUGAUCCAGCCAUCAUGAAUAGUAGCCACUGAGAGCCUUGUCCUCCAGACAACUUCAAACACUAAUGAAUUUUGAAAAACUUCAAUGUUUAGAAAAUACUGCUUUAAUUUCUAAUAUUUUCUCCAUUUUUAAUAUAUAACCACUGUGCUAAAGUACAUUUUUAAUGUUAAUUGCAAAAGUCAUUCUAAAGCAUUCUGAACUUUCUUAUAUUUCAGAAAUGCACAUAUAGUGGUACCUUGGUUGUCAAUCCGUUCCAGAAGACCAUUCAACUUCCAAUACCUUCGACAACCAAGGCACACUCUCCCAUUGGGGCAAACGCUCCAGAAACAACAGUCAACAGCCACGUCAGACAUUCAACUUCCAAGGCGCGUUCAAAGACGGAGAACGAGUUUUCAGCGUUCGGGAGCUGAAACGUUCGACUACAGAGGCGUUCAACAGCCGAGGUUUGACUGUACCAGAUCUAUUUAGUUUUGCUCAUUAAUCACUUGAAAUGUUUCACUAAAACUGGUUUAGUCCUAAAAUCUUUGUGUAAGGACCCAGCUUCUUUACCUUCAAUCUCCUGUUCCUAUAUUUCCUUCAGUAUAUUUUGGAAGCAGGUGUGUGUCGGUUUUCCUUCAACUUGUUAGGUGCUCUCUAGAUCCACAGAUUCCUUUUGCCAUAAUAAUAAUAAUAAUAAUUUAUUUAUACCCCACCCAUCUGGCUGGGUUUCCACAGCCACUCUGGGCGGCUUUCAACAGAAUAUUAAAAUACAAUAAUCUAUUAAACAUUAAAAGCUUCCUGAAACAGGGCUGCCUUCAGAUGUCUUCUAAAAGUUUGGUAGUUGUUUUUCUCUUUGACAUCUGGUAGGAGGGCAUUCCACAGGGCGGGUGCCACGACCAAGAAGGCCCUCUGCCUGGUUCCCUGUAACUUGGCAUCUCACAGUGAGGGAACCGCCAGAAGGCCCUCGGCGCUGGAUCUCAGUGUCUGGGCUGGAUGAUGGGGGUGGAGACGCUUCUUCAGGUAUACUGGACCGAGGCCGUUUAGGGCUUUAAAGGUCAGCACCAACACUUUGAAUUGUGCUUGGAAACGUACUGGGAGCCAAUGCAUAGGAAAAACCCUGCUCCCAAGUCUUCAUGGUGCCUUUAUCAUCAGGAUGAGACACCUGCCUUGUCAGAAAGCUCCUUGCAAUGGAAGGAUGGUGGCUUCACUUUGUUCUUCUCAUCCAAGGUCUCAGGAGAAGGAGAACUUAGAGGAUCCUCCUGUGGCUUUUCCUCCUGCCCUGAAGUGGAAGAUUUGGGAGUUCUGUGAUAUAAAUCCCUUCCUGGAGGAGUCAUGAAGAAAUUCAGAG